Molecule: ribosomal RNA, 440 nt
Filed under: uncultured bacterium
Lineage: Bacteria
Description: partial 16S ribosomal RNA
Rfam family: Bacterial small subunit ribosomal RNA
Source: RNAcentral
CCUACGGGAGGCUGCAGUGGGGGAUAUUGCACAAUGGGGGAAACCCUGAUGCAGCGACGCCGCGUGUGGGAAGACGGUCUUCUGGAUUGUAAACCACUGUCCCCAGGGACGAAAAUGACGGUACCUGGGGAGGACGCUCCGGCUAACUACGUGCCAGCAGCCGCGGUAAUACGUAGGGAGCAAGCGUUGUCCGGAAUUACUGGGUGUAAAGGGAGCGUAGGCGGGGAUGCAAGUUGGGUGUCAAAACUACCGGCUCAACCGAUAGUCGCACUCAAAACUGCAGCUCUUGAGUGAAGUAGAGGCAGGCGGAAUUCCUAGUGUAGCGGUGAAAUGCGUAGAUAUUAGGAGGAACACCAGUGGCGAAGGCGGCCUGCUGGGCUGUGACUGACGCUGAGGCUCGAAAGUGUGGGGAGCAAACAGGAUUAGAUACCCGAGUAGUC